RNAcentral lists this ribosomal RNA (253 nucleotides) under uncultured bacterium. RNAcentral describes it as "partial 16S ribosomal RNA". It matches the Rfam family "Bacterial small subunit ribosomal RNA", at positions 524 to 776 of the family's 1533-position model. The record is from RNAcentral.
UACGUAGGGUGCAAGCGUUGUCCGGAAUUAUUGGGCGUAAAGAGCUCGUAGGCGGCCUGUCGCGUCGGCUGUGAAAACCCGAGGCUCAACCUCGGGCCUGCAGUCGAUACGGGCAGGCUAGAGUUCGGUAGGGGAGACUGGAAUUCCUGGUGUAGCGGUGAAAUGCGCAGAUAUCAGGAGGAACACCGAUGGCGAAGGCAGGUCUCUGGGCUGUAACUGACGCUGAGGAGCGAAAGCAUGGGGAGCGAACAGG